UUAUUUUUUAAUAAUUAAUUUUUAUAUAAUUUUUAUAUAAUUAAUAUUUUAGUUAUUUAUAGGAAUAAAUAUUAUAAUAUAAUAAUAUUUUAAUAAUGAUAAAAUAAGUAUUUUAUAUAUAUAAAAUAUAGUAACUCGGCAAAUAUUAUUUUCGCCUGUUUAACAAAAACAUGGUCUUUUGUUUAUAUAAAAGAUCUAACCUGCCCUAUGAUUUAUUUAAAUGGCUGCAGUAUUUUGACUGUACAAAGGUAGCAUAAUCAUUUGUCUUUUAAUUGAAGGCUUGUAUGAAUGGUUGGAUGAAAAAUAUACUUUCUUUAUUUUAUAUAAAAAAUUUAAUUUUCUAGUCAAAAAGCUAGGAUUUUUUUAUAGGACGAGAAGACCCUAUAGAACUUUAUUUUCUUUUUUUAUAAACUUUAUAGAUAAAUAUAAGUUUAUAUAUUUUUGUUAAUUUUGUUGGGGUGAUUGAAAAAAUUUUUUAACUUUUUCUAUUUUUUACAUUUAUAUAUGUUUUUUUGAUCCUUUAUUAUGGAAUAAAAGAUUAAGUUACCUUAGGGAUAACAGCGUUAUUUUUUUGGAGAGUUCUUAUCGAUAAAAAAGUUUGCGACCUCGAUGUUGG
RNAcentral lists this ribosomal RNA (616 nucleotides) under Apolygus lucorum. RNAcentral's name for it is "partial 16S ribosomal RNA". The stretch from base 147 to 306 matches the Rfam family "Bacterial large subunit ribosomal RNA", at positions 1791 to 2013 of the family's 2925-position model. Lineage: Eukaryota; Metazoa; Arthropoda; Insecta; Hemiptera; Miridae. The record is from RNAcentral.